Molecule: transfer RNA, 71 nt
Filed under: human gut metagenome
Rfam family: tRNA
About the family: Transfer RNA (tRNA) molecules are approximately 80 nucleotides in length. Their secondary structure includes four short double-helical elements and three loops (D, anti-codon, and T loops).
Source: RNAcentral
GCGUAUAGCUCAGUUGGUUAGAGCGCCACGUUCACAUCGUGGAAGUCGUAGGUUCGAGUCCUACUACGCCC